AGGAUAAACGCUGGCGGCGUGCCUAACACAUGCAAGUCGAACGUCUCUUCUUUCGGGAAGAGGAGUGGCGGACGGGUGAGGAACACGUGGGAACCUGCCCUUUAGUGAGGAAUACCGGCGAGAAAUCGCCGACAAGACCGCAUAGCCCUCUUUGAUGAGAGUCAAAGAAGGAAAGCUUCGCAAGAGGCGCUAGAGGAGGGGCCUGCGUCCGAUUAGCUAGUUGGUGGGGUAAGAGCCUACCAAGGCGUCGAUCGGUAGCUGGUCUGAGAGGACGAUCAGCCACACUGGGAUUGAGAACGGCCCAGACUCCUACGGGGGGCAGCAGUGAGGAAUUUUCGGCAAUGGGGGAAACCCUGACCGAGCAACGCCGCGUGCAGGAAGACGGCCUUGGUUGUAAACUGCUUUUCUUGGGUAAGAGAACGGACGGUACCAGAGGAAUCAGCCCCGGCUCACUACGUGCCAGCAGCCGC
RNAcentral lists this ribosomal RNA (470 nucleotides) under uncultured bacterium. RNAcentral's name for it is "SSU rRNA". It matches the Rfam family "Bacterial small subunit ribosomal RNA", at positions 26 to 518 of the family's 1533-position model. The record is from RNAcentral.